GAUGAAUUCCGGCACUAUCUGAAAGGUUGGGGUUACUGUGGUGAAUGUUUCCCAGAAAACGGAACAGUGACUACUAAGUAACUUUGCUGAGGCUCAGGUCUGACACUUCAGGAAAUCUGUAAUUCUAACUUCAUACAUGGAUUAGAACAUCUCCACUGCAGAGAGGUCUGAGUUCUUAUCUAUGAGACACUGUGUUUCAAGUUGCCAGUCUCCUGUGGGAUCACUCCAAAGCCUCGAAAAUGGUCUCCCCAUAGACAUUCCACCCCCACUCCAAUCUGUUCUCCACUCUGCAGUCAGAGUGAUUGGCUCAAAAUGCAU
This 318-nucleotide long non-coding RNA is filed under the name Equus caballus (horse). RNAcentral describes it as "lncRNA (ENSECAG00000057062.1)". Lineage: Eukaryota; Metazoa; Chordata; Mammalia; Perissodactyla; Equidae. The record is from RNAcentral.